AGGGACAUGGAGAAAUGCUUAAUAACUCCUGUCUCUGAGCCGUUUGUGUCCUGAAGUUCUGCUGUAGUGCACUUGAUGUGCUCUCUGAGCCUCUCAGAAUUCCUAAAGACAAAGAAUGAGGAUAUAGUCCGUCUGUAUGUCUUUGUUCUCUGACUUGCAAAAUGCCGUGCAUUCUGUCUCUUGCCAGCUCCUUUUCCUUCGCAGCCUCUGAAAUUGUGUUUUGUAAGAAGUCACUUGCCUAUCACCAC
Long non-coding RNA from Grammomys surdaster, 248 nucleotides. RefSeq lists it as uncharacterized. The record is from RefSeq and is a predicted model, not a curated record. The transcript is spliced from 3 exons. Lineage: Eukaryota; Metazoa; Chordata; Mammalia; Rodentia; Muridae.